GACGAACGCUGGCGGCGUGCCUAACACAUGCAAGUCGAACGGAAAGGCCCUGAUUGUGUGGGGUGCUCGAGUGGCGAACGGGUGAGUAACACGUGAGUAACCUGACCUUGACUUUGGGAUAACUUCAGGAAACUGGGGCUAAUACCGGACAGGAGCUCCCGCAGCAUGGUGGGGGGUGGAAAGUUUCGGCGGUUGGGGAUGGACUCGCGGCUGAUCAGCUAGUUGGUGGGGUAGUGGCUGACCAAGGCUUUGACGGGUAGCCGGCCUGAGAGGGUGACCGGCCACAUUGGUACUGAGAUACGGCCCAGACUCCUACGGGAGGCAGCAGUGGGGAAUAUUGCACAAUGAGCGGGAGCCUGAUGCAGCAACGCCGCGUGCGGGAUGACGGCCUUCGGGUAGUAAACCGCAUUCGCCUGUGACGAAGCGUUAGUGACGGUAAUGGAUAAAGAAGCACCGGCUAACUACGUG
RNAcentral lists this ribosomal RNA (468 nucleotides) under uncultured bacterium. RNAcentral's name for it is "partial 16S ribosomal RNA". It matches the Rfam family "Bacterial small subunit ribosomal RNA", at positions 28 to 507 of the family's 1533-position model. The record is from RNAcentral.